AUUGAACGCUGGCGGCAGGCCUAACACAUGCAAGUCGAGCGGAUGAAGGGAGCUUGCUCCUGGAUUCAGCGGCGGACGGGUGAGUAAUGCCUAGGAAUCUGCCUGGUAGUGGGGGAUAACGUCCGGAAACGGGCGCUAAUACCGCAUACGUCCUGAGGGAGAAAGUGGGGGAUCUUCGGACCUCACGCUAUCAGAUGAGCCUAGGUCGGAUUAGCUAGUUGGUGGGGUAAAGGCCUACCAAGGCGACGAUCCGUAACUGGUCUGAGAGGAUGAUCAGUCACACUGGAUCUGAGACACGGUCCAGACUCCUACGGGAGGCAGCAGUGGGGAAUAUUGGACAAAGGGCGAAAGCCUGAUCCAGCCAUGCCGCGUGUGUGAAGAAGGUCUUCGGAUUGUAAAGCACUUUAAGUUGGGAGGAAGGGCAGUAAGUUAAUACCUUGCUGUUUUGACGUUACCAACAGAAUAAGCACCGGCUAACUUCGUG
This 484-nucleotide ribosomal RNA is filed under the name uncultured bacterium. RNAcentral's name for it is "partial 16S ribosomal RNA". It matches the Rfam family "Bacterial small subunit ribosomal RNA", at positions 30 to 507 of the family's 1533-position model. The record is from RNAcentral.